Molecule: transfer RNA, 70 nt
Filed under: Sarcophilus harrisii (Tasmanian devil)
Lineage: Eukaryota; Metazoa; Chordata; Mammalia; Dasyuromorphia; Dasyuridae
Rfam family: tRNA
About the family: Transfer RNA (tRNA) molecules are approximately 80 nucleotides in length. Their secondary structure includes four short double-helical elements and three loops (D, anti-codon, and T loops).
Source: Rfam by way of RNAcentral
UAGGAUGUAGUGUAAUGGGAGCACAAAGGGUUUUGAGCUCUUUGGUAUGGGUUCGGUCCUAUUGUUCUAG